Molecule: ribosomal RNA, 497 nt
Filed under: uncultured bacterium
Lineage: Bacteria
Description: partial 16S ribosomal RNA
Rfam family: Bacterial small subunit ribosomal RNA
Source: RNAcentral
GAUGAACGCUGGCGGCGUGCCUAAUACAUGCAAGUCGAGCGAACAGAUAAGGAGCUGGCUCCUGUGACGUUAGCGACGGACGGGUGAGUAACACGUGGGUAACCUACCUAUAAGACUGGAAUAACUCCGGGAAACCGGGGCUAAUGCCGGAUAACAUUUAGAACCGCAUGGUUCUAAAGGGAAAGAUGGUUUUGCUAUCACUUAUAGAUGGAACCGCGCCGUAUUAGCUAGUUGGUAAGGUAACGGCUUACCAAGGCAACGAUACGUAGCCGACCUGAGAGGGUGAUCGGCCACACUGGAACUGAGACACGGUCCAGACUCCUACGGGAGGCAGCAGUAGGGAAUCUUGCGCAAUGGGCGAAAGCCUGACGGAGCAACGCCGCGUGAGUGAUGAAGGUCUUCGGAUCGUAAACCUCUGUUAUUCGGGAAGAACACAUGUGUACGUAACUGUGCACGUCUUGACGGUACCUAAUCAGAAAGCCACGGCUAACUACGUG